AUACUGUGCAAGUGAGCUGUUGAAUCUAGGCAUACCAGGAUCAGGAUGGCCGAACUGGAGUACAUUUUACAAGAUUUCGGGGAGGAAAUCAUUCAGAUUUUGAAAGGAGCAUUUCUUCUCAGAAAAUGAAGGAUUCAUUGAAUACAGAUUCAAGAAUAUGAGGCCGAAUGGCAAACAGGGUAAGAAGAGGAAGCAUGCCAAAUCAGAUGAUCACAAACAAGAAGAUGUGAUAGUGGAUGAGGAAUUACUUCAAGAUGAAGAAUUACAAGAAAAGGUUAACUGAAAGAAGCACACAGUUCCCACUGCAGCAAAUAAGGGGGAAAUUAUCCAAUUUUUCAAAGACACUGCUGCUUAUUGUCAAAUGAUGCUAAAGAAGAGGACAGACAUGACCAUUACAGACUUCAUCACCACCUUUCCAAGGAUACAAGAGAUGCCAGAACUUAUCAACAUGGACUUUGAAACAGAACAUGGGCACCUUUCUGACAAUUUUAUUUCAAAGUGGGAGUCGUUCUACCGAGACCGUAUCAUAAAAUUAGGUUUGAGCGGGUAUCCAGCGGUAAAAGAAUCAAUUCAACAGUUUUGAGGAAGGAGACAACAGAGACCUGUGUGGUUUAACUGCACUGUUGCUGAUGUUACAUAAGCCACUGACAAAGACCAAGAACCCCACCUCGAGUUCAAGAGCAUCGCCGAGUUUGGAGCACUUCAUCCAGUACAGACCUAUUGGGACAGAUGUUCAAGCGACAGCAGCUGGGAAGUCUGCUGAGUUUCGGCAGCCCUAUAUUCUAGCCCUUGGACACAGACGCAAGCCACUACAAUCUUGCGGAUCGAACUACUUCUUCAGUUUUCAGCCAAUAUUCAUGAAAUUUGGCACAUACAUUGGUCUGCUUGUGAGGAUGUGCAGACACAUUUUUCACAAAAGUAACUAGAAAACAAGGUGAUAUCUAGUUUGAUAUUACAUUGCUGAGAGUGAUUUAUUAUUCAUGAGUCAUAAGCUAAAGAAUCAAGCAGAAUUUACAGGGUCUUGCAUUAAGACAUAGAGACAAAUUUAACCCUAAAUAGACUGGG
Molecule: long non-coding RNA, 1065 nt
Organism: Lytechinus pictus (painted urchin)
Lineage: Eukaryota; Metazoa; Echinodermata; Echinoidea; Temnopleuroida; Toxopneustidae
Exons: 6
Source: RefSeq, a predicted model, not a curated record